GGGCGUUAAGUUGCAGGGUAUAGACCCGAAACCCGGUGAUCUAGCCAUGGGCAGGUUGAAGGUUGGGUAACACUAACUGGAGGACCGAACCGACUAAUGUUGAAAAAUUAGCGGAUGACCUGUGGCUGGGGGUGAAAGGCCAAUCAAACCGGGAGAUAGCUGGUUCUCCCCGAAAGCUAUUUAGGUAGCGCCUCGUGAAUUCAUCUCCGGGGGUAGAGCACUGUUUCGGCUAGGGGGCCAUCCCGGCUUACCAACCCGAUGCAAACUGCGAAUACCGGAGAAUGUUAUCACGGGAGACACACGGCGGGUGCUAACGUCCGUCGUGAAGAGGGAAACAACCCAGACCGCCAGCUAAGGUCCCAAAGUCAUGGUUAAGUGGGAAACGAUGUGGGAAGGCCCAGACAGCCAGGAUGUUGGCUUAGAAGCAGCCAUCAUUUAAAGAAAGCGUAAUAGCUCACUGGUCGAGUCGGCCUGCGCGGAAGAUGUAACGGGGCUAAACCAUGCACCGAAGCUGCGGCAGCGACACUCAGGUGUUGUUGGGUAGGGGAGCGUUCUGUAAGCCUGCGAAGGUGGCCUGUGAGGGUUGCUGGAGGUAUCAGAAGUGCGAAUGCUGACAUAAGUAACGAUAAAGCGGGUGAAAAGCCCGCUCGCCGGAAGACCAAGGGUUCCUGUCCAACGUUAAUCGGGGCAGGGUGAGUCGACCCCUAAGGCGAGGCCGAAAGGCGUAGUCGAUGGGAAACGGGUUAAUAUUCCCGUACUUGGUGUUACUGCGAAGGGGGGACGGAGAAGGCUAUGUUGGCCGGGCGACGGUUGUCCCGGUUUAAGCGUGUAGGUGUGUGUUCCAGGUAAAUCCGGUUCACUUUAACACUGAGGCGUGACGACGAGGCACUACGGUGCUGAAGCAACAAAUGCCCUGCUUCCAGGAAAAGCCUCUAAGCAUCAGGUAACAUCAAAUCGUACCCCAAACCGACACAGGUGGUCAGGUAGAGAAUACCAAGGCGCUUGAGAGAACUCGGGUGAAGGAACUAGGCAAAAUGGUGCCGUAACUUCGGGAGAAGGCACGCUGACACGUAGGUGAAGUGAUUUACUCAUGGAGCUGAAGUCAGUCGAAGAUACCAGCUGGCUGCAACUGUUUAUUAAAAACACAGCACUGUGCAAACACGAAAGUGGACGUAUACGGUGUGACGCCUGCCCGGUGCCGGAAGGUUAAUUGAUGGGGUCAGCGCAAGCGAAGCUCCUGAUCGAAGCCCCGGUAAACGGCGGCCGUAACUAUAACGGUCCUAAGGUAGCGAAAUUCCUUGUCGGGUAAGUUCCGACCUGCACGAAUGGCGUAAUGAUGGCCAGGCUGUCUCCACCCGAGACUCAGUGAAAUUGAACUCGCUGUGAAGAUGCAGUGUACCCGCGGCAAGACGGAAAGACCCCGUGAACCUUUACUAUAGCUUGACACUGAACAUUGAGCCUUGAUGUGUAGGAUAGGUGGGAGGCUUUGAAGUGUGGACGCCAGUCUGCAUGGAGCCGACCUUGAAAUACCACCCUUUAAUGUUUGAUGUUCUAACGUGGACCCGUGAUCCGGGUUGCGGACAGUGUCUGGUGGGUAGUUUGACUGGGGCGGUCUCCUCCUAAAGAGUAACGGAGGAGCACGAAGGUUGGCUAAUCCUGGUCGGACAUCAGGAGGUUAGUGCAAUGGCAUAAGCCAGCUUGACUGCGAGCGUGACGGCGCGAGCAGGUGCGAAAGCAGGUCAUAGUGAUCCGGUGGUUCUGAAUGGAAGGGCCAUCGCUCAACGGAUAAAAGGUACUCCGGGGAUAACAGGCUGAUACCGCCCAAGAGUUCAUAUCGACGGCGGUGUUUGGCACCUCGAUGUCGGCUCAUCACAUCCUGGGGCUGAAGUAGGUCCCAAGGGUAUGGCUGUUCGCCAUUUAAAGUGGUACGCGAGCUGGGUUUAGAACGUCGUGAGACAGUUCGGUCCCUAUCUGCCGUGGGCGCUGGAGAACUGAGGGGGGCUGCUCCUAGUACGAGAGGACCGGAGUGGACGCAUCACUGGUGUUCGGGUUGUCAUGCCAAUGGCACUGCCCGGUAGCUAAAUGCGGAAGAGAUAAGUGCUGAAAGCAUCUAAGCACGAAACUUGCCCCGAGAUGAGUUCUCCCUGAGACUUUAGGUCUCCUGAAGGAACGUUGAAGACGACGACGUUGAUAGGCCGGGUGUGUAAGCGCAGCGAUGCGUUGAGCUAACCGGUACUAAUGAACCGUGAGGCUUAACCUU
RNAcentral lists this ribosomal RNA (2260 nucleotides) under Salmonella enterica subsp. enterica serovar Montevideo. RNAcentral describes it as "bacterial LSU rRNA". It matches the Rfam family "Bacterial large subunit ribosomal RNA", at positions 690 to 2925 of the family's 2925-position model. The record is from RNAcentral. Lineage: Bacteria; Pseudomonadati; Pseudomonadota; Gammaproteobacteria; Enterobacterales; Enterobacteriaceae.